AUGCGAGUCUUUGUAGUAAUACAAGGCAGANGGCUCAGUAACACGUAGUNNNNNNNNCCUAUGGACGAGGAUAACCUCGGGAAACUGAGANNNNNNCUCGAUAGAUCAUUAUGCCUGGAAUGGUUUAUGGUCGAAAUGAUUUAUCGCCGUAGGAUGGGACUGCGNUCUAUCAGCUUGUUGGUGAGGUAAUGGCCCACCAAGGCUAUAACAGAUACGGGCUCUGAGAGGAGAAGCCCGGAGAUGGGUACUGAGACACGGACCCAGGCCCUAUGGGGCGCAGCAGGCGAGAAAACUUUGCAAUGUGCGAAAGCACGACAAGGUUAAUCCGAGUGUUUUCUGCUAAAGAAAUCUUUUGUCAGUCCUAAAAACACUGAUGAAUAAGGGGUGGGCAAGUUCUGGUGUCAGCCGCCGCGGUAAAACCAGCACCUCAAGUGGUCAGGAGGAUUAUUGNGCCUAAAGCAUCCGUAGCCGGCUCUGUAAGUUUUCGGUUAAAUCUAUACGCUCAACGUAUAGGCUGCCGGGAAUACUGCAAAGCUAGGGAGUGGGANAGGUAGACGGUACUCGNUAGGAAGGGGUAAA
RNAcentral lists this ribosomal RNA (579 nucleotides) under uncultured archaeon. Its description in RNAcentral is "partial 16S ribosomal RNA". It matches the Rfam family "Archaeal small subunit ribosomal RNA", at positions 51 to 636 of the family's 1478-position model. The record is from RNAcentral.